AAAAACAUGGCUUCUYGUGUUUAAAAAAUGGGGAGUUGGACCUGCCCAGUGAAUUUUUUUAACGGCCGCGGUACUCUGACCGUGCAAAGGUAGCAUAAUCAUUUGCCUUAUAAUUGAAGGCUAGUAUGAAUGGUUUGACAAGAAUGUAGCUGUCUCAUUAUAGUUAUAUAGAAUUUUAUCUUCAGGUGAAGAAGCCUGUUUAAAAUUGAAAGACAAGAAGACCCUAUCGAGCUUUAAAAAAACUAAUAGACGCAAGAUCUAUUAUAUUAAAAGAUUAACUAUUAAAAAUUUUAGUUGGGGCGACCGAGGAACAAAAAGAGCUUCCUUUAAAUUUAGUGAGACUAACAAGUUAACGAUCCAAAAUAUUUUGAUCGAAGGAAUUAGUUACCGUAGGGAUAACAGCAUUAUCUUUUUCAAGAGUUCUUAUCGAAAAAAAGGUUUGUGACCUCGAUGUUGGACCAGAAUAUCCUAAAGAUGCAGCAGUCUUUAAGGGUUGGUCUGUUCGACCAUUAAAAUUCUACGUGAUCUGA
Molecule: ribosomal RNA, 530 nt
Filed under: Phaenomenella samadiae
Lineage: Eukaryota; Metazoa; Mollusca; Gastropoda; Neogastropoda; Buccinidae
Description: partial large subunit ribosomal RNA
Source: RNAcentral